AACGCUUCUCGGCCUUUUGGCUAACACCAAGUGUAGUAUCUAUUCUUAUCAGUUUCAUAUCUGAUAUGUCCUGUAUCCGAGGGCAAUAUAUUAAAUGGACUUUUGGAACUAGGAGUUGGAGUAGGAGCUUGCUCCGUCCACUCCACACAUCAACCUGGUAUUGCAGUGUCUCCUCAUGGUUUAAAACCA
RNAcentral lists this small nuclear RNA (189 nucleotides) under Neotoma lepida (desert woodrat). RNAcentral describes it as "U2 spliceosomal RNA". It matches the Rfam family "U2 spliceosomal RNA". Rfam says of the family: U2 is a small nuclear RNA (snRNA) component of the spliceosome (involved in pre-mRNA splicing). Complementary binding between U2 snRNA (in an area lying towards the 5' end but 3' to hairpin I) and the branchpoint sequence (BPS) of the intron results the bulging out of an unpaired adenosine, on the BPS, which initiates a nucleophilic attack at the intronic 5' splice site, thus starting the first of two transesterification reactions that mediate splicing. The record is from Rfam by way of RNAcentral. Lineage: Eukaryota; Metazoa; Chordata; Mammalia; Rodentia; Cricetidae.